CCUACGGGAGGCAGCAGUGAGGAAUAUUGGUCAAUGGACGCAAGUCUGAACCAGCCAUGCCGCGUGCAGGAAGACGGCUCUAUGAGUUGUAAACUGCUUUUGUACGAGGGUAAACGCAGAUACGCGUAUCUGUCUGAAAGUAUCGUACGAAUAAGGAUCGGCUAACUCCGUGCCAGCAGCCGCGGUAAUACGGAGGAUUCAAGCGUUAACCGGAUUUAUUGGGUUUAAAGGGUGCGUAGGCGGUCGGAUAAGUUAGGGGUGAAAUCCCGAGGCUCAACUUCGGAAUUGCCUCUGAUACUGUUAGGCUAGAGAGUAGUUGCGGUAGGCGGAAUGUAUGGUGUAGCGGUGAAAUGCUUAGAGAUCAUACAGAACACCGAUUGCGAAGGCAGCUUACCAAGCUACGUCUGACGUUGAGGCACGAAAGCGUGGGGAGCAAACAGGAUUAGAUACCCGGGUAGUC
This 460-nucleotide ribosomal RNA is filed under the name uncultured bacterium. Its description in RNAcentral is "partial 16S ribosomal RNA". It matches the Rfam family "Bacterial small subunit ribosomal RNA", at positions 338 to 795 of the family's 1533-position model. The record is from RNAcentral.